This is an RNA transcript of Rhipicephalus sanguineus (brown dog tick), 918 nucleotides long. RefSeq lists it as uncharacterized. The transcript is spliced from 5 exons. Lineage: Eukaryota; Metazoa; Arthropoda; Arachnida; Ixodida; Ixodidae. The record is from RefSeq and is a predicted model, not a curated record.
GGUUAGCUAAAGCGGGAGAGGGAAGACUUACGUCCGAGCCAUUGUGUCUCAAAGGAAAAAUUUUUCUCAAUCCGUGCUCGUGAAGCAGUGACAUGCGUGAAAAGCAUAUUCUUACGAUUUUCGUGUUCGUGGGAUGUAUCGCGAAAUUGGGAUCCCUAAAGCUGCCCCUGAGAACUGUUCCGAGCAUGCGAGACUUUGUAAAUACAAGAGAAGAAAUAUGGACCUACCUCACAAGCGAAAAUACAAACAUUGAGUGUAAAGCCGAUGAAAAACUGUAUCUGAGUCUGAUAUCCAUUGAAUUCCGACGAUCGUAUUACUUCAGGAUGAAAAAGAUGUGUUACUCGCUGCUCGGCAGGUUUGAUCCCCAACAUAAAGAGGUCAUGAGAAUUCACUCUUCAGGUAAUGUAGCACCUUUAAGCAGACGGAAAAAAUUGUUUACGUGGAUGACGAGCUUAGCUGUGCAGUCGUGAAGGUGACAACGUAUUUUACAAGUCAGAAGAAGUAUGAUCUUCGUGUCCGGAAUUCGUCCGUUCAUGUGGCUCCCAGUGGAAAAUGUUUGAAAUAUUUCAACUUAAAAGCGAAAGGAAAACAGCACAAGCUAUAUAAAAACUACUGCCAAUACUUACUGCACCGUCCACACGAAAAUAAAUUCCUCUGUAAGGAAGAAAAGAACCCUGCGAUUUGAAGCAGCGCAUAAUUUCUUCAAAAAUACACCACAAAGUAAUGAAGGCAUCCACGAACGGCGAAUAUACAAGCAGUGGAACUGAAGUUGACUUUGAUGGAUCGUUUCAUCCUACCCAGAGCGGGGAACACUUGUUCAAGAAACGAUUUACGUUGUUUUGUCAAAUUCUGUAUUUCAGUUUAUUUGUUAGUUCGUAAAAACGAUUUGUGUACUGCGUGACAACAAAUUUUAAGUAC